GACGAACGCUGGCGGCGUGCUUAACACAUGCAAGUCGAACGAUGAAGCUAGAGCUUGCUCUGGCGAAUUAGUGGCGAACGGGUGAGUAACACGUGAGUAACCUGCCCCGAACUCUGGGAUAACUGCUGGAAACGGUAGCUAAUACUGGAUACGACCUACGAAGGCAUCUUCUGUAGGUGGAAAGAAUUUCGGUUCGGGAUGGACUCGCGGCCUAUCAGCUUGUUGGUGAGGUAAUGGCUCACCAAGGCGACGACGGGUAGCCGGCCUGAGAGGGUGACCGGCCACACUGGGAGUGGAACACGGCCCAGACUCCUACGGGAGGCAGCAGUGGGGAAUAUUGCACAAUGGGCGAAAGCCUGAUGCAGCAACGCCGCGUGAGGGAUGACGGCCUUCGGGUUGUAAACCUCUUUUAGUAGGGAAGAAGCGAAAGUGACGGUACCUGCAGAAAAAGCACCGGCUAACUACGUGCCAGCCGCCGCAGUAA
Molecule: ribosomal RNA, 484 nt
Filed under: uncultured bacterium
Lineage: Bacteria
Description: partial 16S ribosomal RNA
Rfam family: Bacterial small subunit ribosomal RNA
Source: RNAcentral